AUGCUUAUAAAAGGUUCCCUGGUCCAGGCAGCGCUGACUCAGCCGGCCUCGGUGUCAGCCAACCCGGGAGAAACCGUCCAGAUCACCUGCUCCGGGGGUGGCACCAUCUAUGGUAACGUUUAUGGCUGCACCUACUAUGGCUGGUACCAGCAGAAGGUACCUGGCACUGCCCCUGUCACUGUGAUCUACCGGAAUGAGCAGAGACCCUCGGACAUCCCUUCGCGAUUCUCCGGGUCCAAGUCCGGCUCCACGGCCACGUUGACCAUCGCUGGGGUCCAAGCCGAGGACGAGGCUGUCUAUUACUGUGGUGGCUACGACAGCAGCAGCAGCUAUGGUGUUUAG
Molecule: non-coding RNA, 342 nt
Organism: Merops nubicus (carmine bee-eater)
Lineage: Eukaryota; Metazoa; Chordata; Aves; Coraciiformes; Meropidae
Source: the annotation of a RefSeq genome assembly